Long non-coding RNA from Monodelphis domestica (gray short-tailed opossum), 2191 nucleotides. RefSeq lists it as uncharacterized. NCBI's taxonomy places the organism in Eukaryota, Metazoa, Chordata, Mammalia, Didelphimorphia, Didelphidae. The record is from RefSeq and is a predicted model, not a curated record.
GAGCCCUAGCACUGGGAGUCUACCUUGACCCUCUGGAUCUUCUAUGUGGCCCUCAUUUUUUUUGUUUUUUUUUUAAAGAUACAAUCCCUUUAAUUCACUUUUAGAUAUAUGCACCAAAGACAUUUAUAAAAACUAAUGGGAAGCACUUGGGAUUAGUCCAGCCCAGGGUCUAUAGGAAUGGUGAAGAUGGGAAAUGAUGGGGCUACAACUGGCCCUACCUCAGGAGAGGUCAUCUGCUUCUCAGCAGAGGCCUAACCUCAAUUAAACUCAAGACUGACACAGCCAAUAAAUCAACUGAGACAUGAGAGUUGAGGAGAAGAAUACAGGAAGAGGUAUAGCUUGGGUAUAGAAAGGCCCCGGGCUCCUUUAAAAGACCAAGAGAAGUAUGAUCAUCUUCAUUAUUCUCUUUCCAUUCUCCUCUUGGUUCCCAGGAGACUGGAGAACCUUCCUAAGUAGUGGGGUAAAACCAAACAUCAAUGGAGCAUGAAAGAUAAGAGGAUCUCAGCAAGUGUGAGAAGACACAAAUAAUCUCCUUUCUGAAGGGCCCCUUGAUCAAUCCUUGGACUUCUCUUCUUCCAAGGCUCUAAUAUUUAUCCAUUUUCAAAAUCCUAGACCUGCUGCUGGAGUUUACUGCAUUGGAAACAACUGUGCUCAGUUGGUAGAAGAUGAAUCCAUAAUUGAAGAAAACUCUAUAUUUGGAUCAACAUAGUAUAUCAAUGGCUUUGGACAUUAACUUGAAAAUUAGCAAAAUCUUCACAAGUAAUGGUAAGAAGAAGACAAAAGUCAUUUCCUCUCCAGCCCUACCCUUUGGAGGGAAUGUGUGGUUUUGCGUCUUUGGCUUUGGGGAAGUGACUGAGCAGUGGCAGUAAAAUGGGUUGAGAGAGGGGCACUGGGGUGUGUGUGUGUGUGUGUGUGUAGGAAAAGAGCCCCAGGAGCAAAAGUAAGGUCACAGCUUUGAAUGAAAAGGAUUGGUUGUGGGUCAGAAAAGGGGGAGAAGCAAAGAGAAGAGUACAAAAAGCACAAGGAGAAAAGUAACAGUAGGAGAAUGAGGCCCAAAAGUGAUAGGGACCAGAAAACAGCCAGUGAGAGGAAGGGGAAUGGGGGUGGCAAGACAGUGGAAUCAGUGCAAAAAGAGCCUCAAUAAUCAAGGUCUUUCAUAAGAGAAUAGGUCCAGGAUUAGGGAAAUAUACCUAGAAAAUAUUUUUUUAAAAGGUCAAUGAAAACAACAGGACAGGAAACUGAAGUGGAAGCAAGAGAGAAGGGGGAAAGAAAGCCAAGGGUCUGAAAACUAAGGCACAUUUGUGAGGCUGAAUGACAAAGAGAAUCAAGAAGAAUUAGAAGCCAAGCAAGUUAGAGGUUACCUGGAAGGGAGAGAGGAGACAGGGAAGAAACAUAAAAAGGGAAAGAGAUUUUUCACCAGGAAUCUACCUCCUGGCACUCAUAGUGUCUUACCUCUACUCCUCCUGCCCCAUGUUGUACUAGCUAUAAACAAGAGUAUGAGAUGAUAUCUUUUGUUGGGUUUUUUUCUCCCUGCAUUAAGCUAAAAACUGUGUGCAAUUUAUUCUAACACGAAGGAAGAAUGAGUGGGAAAAUAUGAGAUAUUAGGGGUAGUAUAAAUAGUAUCCACUGAAAAAUGGGAACCAGAAGGCCUGGGAUCAAAUGAUGCUAACACGUGUUAACCUUGGGCAAGUCAUAGGAUUUUAGGUUUCUAAUCAAUGAAGGGGUGCAGCUAUGUCCCUUUCAGGUGGGGGAGUCUUUCAGAGGGUAUGGGGUAAGAUGGUUAAAAGAGAACCAAACUACCAAAAGGUAGGAAAGCAAAGGGGAGGAGAGAUGGGGGAGGGAAGGGAGUGAGAGGUAAAGAAAUGGACUGGAAGAAUGUUAGAACAGACCCAGAACGGGAAAGGGAAACAGUAGGGGAGAUAGAAAAGGAGGAAGUUCUGAGGGUGGGAGGAAGAGACUAAGGGGAAAAUGGUAAUGGAACUGAGGAUGGGAGUGAAGGUUGAGAAACAGAAACUAAAGACAAGCAAAAGAGAAAGAGGAGGAAUGUUAGACUAGAGAUAGCGAGGAAAGCUGAGAGCAUAGCAAUGUUGUGCCCUCAAACUCCUUGUCUCUAGAAGCUGAGUUGGGGGAUUCUUAGGAGAUACCUUUCCCCAUUCCUGCAGCCUGAGGAGCAAUAGGAAGCCAAAGUCUU